Molecule: long non-coding RNA, 367 nt
Organism: Myodes glareolus (Bank vole)
Lineage: Eukaryota; Metazoa; Chordata; Mammalia; Rodentia; Cricetidae
Source: RefSeq, a predicted model, not a curated record
AUAAUUUUACCCCAGGCAGGGACAGUGCCCAGAGCUCUGAUGUGUCUCUCCCAGACUUUAAAGCGUGAAGACAGCUGCCUGGUGUGGAUGGACUGACAGACGAUGUGUUCAGGUCUCUCCUGUGACAUCCAGAGCAACUCAGUUUACUGUCAGCAAUAGUGUCUGAUGUUCCCUGUGAUCCUAUGGGCUCAGUGUGAAGAACUGGGGAGCCCAGCCCACCCUGCACACCAGGACCCUGUCCCUGCACUGCCCUGUUCUCUUCCACAGCCAACAUUCCUGUUCCUGCAGACAGGAUGGGACAUCUCCAUCCUGUCUCCUCCAUGCUGUCCUGAGCUGCAGCCCCUGACUUCCCCACUGAAAAUAAUAA